Molecule: long non-coding RNA, 353 nt
Filed under: Elaeis guineensis (African oil palm)
Lineage: Eukaryota; Viridiplantae; Streptophyta; Magnoliopsida; Arecales; Arecaceae
Description: long non-coding RNA (EGUI_LNC079766)
Source: RNAcentral
GGUCCGAAGGAAGGUGGUUUUUAAUUGGUUCCGUUCGCUGACCUGGCCAAUUUAAUUGGUGUCUAAGGAAAGCAACGGGGGGACUCCCACCUACCUUACACUUAUCUGGCCAGUUGGUUGGUCAAGCUCCGACUUGGAGGGCUUGAAGGCUAACUACAGUUAGGAGCUAUCUAGAACUAGGAUAACUUUAAGAUAGAGAGUCCACUGCGUGCUAACUUGAUUGUAAUUAAAAUCUAACCACAACUAAUUCUUCUAUUAGUUUUAGGACUUCUUAGGAUCUCUUCUUUAGAACUCUUUUCUCUCUUCUCUUCUCCUCUUAAUAAAAAAAAAAAUAAUCCUUAACAGACUAGGAU